ACUGCUCAGUAACACGUGGACAACCUGCCCUUAGGUUGGGUAUAAACCCGGGAAACUGGGUAUAAUACCCGAUAGGUCUCGAUUGCUGGAAUGCAUCGAGAUUUAAAGCUCCGGCGCCUAAGGAUGGGUCUGCGGCCUAUCAGGUAGUAGUGGGUGUAGCGUACCUACUAGCCUACGACGGGUACGGGUUGUGAGAGCAAGAGCCCGGAGAUGGAUUCUGAGACACGAAUCCAGGCCCUACGGGGUGCAGCAGGCGCGAAAACUUUACAAUGCUGGCAACAGCGAUAAGGGAACCUCGAGUGCCAGGUUACAAAUCUGGCUGUCGAGAUGCCUAAAAAGCAUUUCAUAGCAAGGGCCGGGCAAGACCGGUGCCAGCCGCCGCGGUAACACCGGCGGCUCGAGUGGUAACCGUUAUUAUUGGGUCUAAAGGGUCUGUAGCCGGCCGGAUAAGUCUCUUGAGAAAUCUGGCAGCUUAACUGUCAGGCUUUCAGGAGAUACUGUCUGGCUCGAGGCCGGGAGAGGUGAGAGGUACUUCAGGGGUAGGGGUAAAUCUUGUAAUCCUUGAAGGACCACCAGUGGCGAAGGCGUCUCACCAGAACGGACCUGACGGCAAGGGACGAAAGCUAGGGGCACGAACCGGAUUAGAUACCCGGGUAGUCCUAGCCGUAAACGAUACUCGCUAGGUGUCGGCCACGGUGCGACCGUUGUCGGUGCCGUAGGGAAGCCGUGAAGCGAGCCACCUGGGAAGUACGGCCGCAAGGCUGAAACUUAAAGGAAUUGGCGGGGGAGCAC
RNAcentral lists this ribosomal RNA (792 nucleotides) under uncultured archaeon. RNAcentral describes it as "bacterial SSU rRNA". It matches the Rfam family "Archaeal small subunit ribosomal RNA", at positions 85 to 879 of the family's 1478-position model. The record is from RNAcentral.